Hibiscus syriacus is the source of this 659-nucleotide long non-coding RNA. RefSeq lists it as uncharacterized. The transcript has 2 exons. Lineage: Eukaryota; Viridiplantae; Streptophyta; Magnoliopsida; Malvales; Malvaceae. The record is from RefSeq and is a predicted model, not a curated record.
CCCACGCGUAUUCAAAAUCCUUAACGCUCUUCGAACAAAACCAGCUUCGUUUCAUGAUUCCCAAAUUAGUUCACACUGAUUUUCAGUAAUUCCACUGAUUUACAGUCACCGGUGUUCUGGUAGGCUGCAGUUCGUUAGCAUCAGAACAAAAUCCCCAAAUCAAUUAGGGAUUUCAAGCACCCAAAUCAGGCCGAGUCUAAGGAGUUACACAUGAAGGUCAAUCAAGUAUUCCGACGAAAGUUUCCAUGCUUAUGGAACAUCAAUCAAAGGCGAGUUUGGUCGUGCAACAAUAUCUGUUAAAGAAGCAACGAGUUGAUUUGGAACAAAAAUCUGAGUUGGAUAAAUAUUUGACUGAGAAUGAAGAUGGAAACAACUCGAGUUCAUUUGAUAUAUUGUUGUGGAGGAAAGUGAAUAGUCCAAGAUACUUUGUUCUUGCGCAAAUAGCUCGAGAUUUUUCUCGAUUCAUAUCUACAAUUGCUUCAAAAAGUGCAUUCAGCACAGGUGGACGUGUUCUAGAUGGUUUUAGAAGUUCAUCGACUCCGACAUGGUUGAAGCUUUGAUUUGUACUCAGGGUUGGCUUCGGAGAUUUACGGAUCCUAUCAAUCUUGUCGAGUAUGUUGCAAAACUUCAAUACAUGGAAGAAAGUAAUAUUUAAUUUU